RNAcentral lists this ribosomal RNA (440 nucleotides) under uncultured bacterium. Its description in RNAcentral is "partial 16S ribosomal RNA". It matches the Rfam family "Bacterial small subunit ribosomal RNA", at positions 338 to 795 of the family's 1533-position model. The record is from RNAcentral.
CCUACGGGCGGCAGCAGUGGGGAAUAUUGCACAAUGGGGGAAACCCUGAUGCAGCGACGCCGCGUGAGCGAAGAAGUAUUUCGGUAUGUAAAGCUCUAUCAGCAGGGAAGAAAAUGACGGUACCUGAGUAAGAAGCUCCGGCUAAAUACGUGCCAGCAGCCGCGGUAAUACGUAGGGAGCAAGCGUUAUCCGGAUUUACUGGGUGUAAAGGGAGCGCAGGCGGCCUUGCAAGUCUGAGGUGAAAUGCCGGGGCUCAACCCCGGGACUGCAUUGGAAACUGUACGGCUGGAGUGUAGGAGAGGCAGGUGGAAUUCCUAGUGUAGCGGUGAAAUGCGUAGAUAUUAGGAGGAACACCAGUGGCGAAGGCGGCCUACUGGACGAUAACUGACGCUGAGGCUCGAAAGCGUGGGGAGCAAACAGGAUUAGAUACCCGAGUAGUC